CCCGCCGCAGAAACCCGACGCUGAUGCCGGGCUCAGCCAGCCUCAGUUUCCUCAUCUGUAAAACAUCCUGUUGGGAAACAAGGGGCAGGAUUCAGCGUUUGGCCGAGGGUCCUGCGCUAUCUGCACACAGUGAAUGCGUUUCCAGCCCAACGGAAGUUGGAAACUUGCAGGCGCCCCUGGGGGAUGAAGGAAGGCCUGAGGAGCCUGGAGUCCCAGGCGGCAGAAGGCGCUGGGCGCUUCCCGCGGGCAGGACCGAGGGCUGCCUGAGGUUAUCCCUCACACAUCCGGCCGUGGAGCCACAGGUAACCAGCCCGCCCGCCCGGAGCUGCCAGUUGGCUCAAGAGCGACGCGAAGGCCCGGCUGCGGCCCCUCAAGGUAACAGUUCCACGUGGAGGCCAGGAAACUUUGCGCGCCCCGGAGGAGGUCCCCGCAGCAGAGGGGCGCACCCGUCUGUGGCCGCGAGGGGGGCCGCGCAGCCGAGCCGGGGAACUCAGCCCCACGGCCCCGCCACGGGACGAG
RNAcentral lists this long non-coding RNA (519 nucleotides) under Heterocephalus glaber (naked mole-rat). RNAcentral's name for it is "lncRNA (ENSHGLG00000034112.1)". Lineage: Eukaryota; Metazoa; Chordata; Mammalia; Rodentia; Bathyergidae. The record is from RNAcentral.